GAUGAACGCUGGCGGCGUGCCUAAUACAUGCAAGUCGAGCGAACAGACGAGGAGCUUGCUCCUCUGACGUUAGCGGCGGACGGGUGAGUAACACGUGGAUAACCUACCUAUAAGACUGGGAUAACUUCGGGAAACCGGAGCUAAUACCGGAUAAUAUAUUGAACCGCAUGGUUCAAUAGUGAAAGACGGUUUUGCUGUCACUUAUAGAUGGAUCCGCGCCGCAUUAGCUAGUUGGUAAGGUAACGGCUUACCAAGGCAACGAUGCGUAGCCGACCUGAGAGGGUGAUCGGCCACACUGGAACUGAGACACGGUCCAGACUCCUACGGGAGGCAGCAGUAGGGAAUCUUCCGCAAUGGGCGAAAGCCUGACGGAGCAACGCCGCGUGAGUGAUGAAGGUCCUCGGAUCGUAAAACUCUGUUAUUAGGGAAGAACAAAUGUGUAAGUAACUAUGCACGUCUUGACGGUACCUAAUCAGAAAGCCACGGCUAACUACGUG
RNAcentral lists this ribosomal RNA (497 nucleotides) under uncultured bacterium. Its description in RNAcentral is "partial 16S ribosomal RNA". It matches the Rfam family "Bacterial small subunit ribosomal RNA", at positions 28 to 507 of the family's 1533-position model. The record is from RNAcentral.